This 505-nucleotide ribosomal RNA is filed under the name Bouchetia wareni. Its description in RNAcentral is "partial 16S ribosomal RNA". It matches the Rfam family "Bacterial large subunit ribosomal RNA", at positions 1817 to 2597 of the family's 2925-position model. The record is from RNAcentral. Lineage: Eukaryota; Metazoa; Mollusca; Gastropoda; Neogastropoda; Muricidae.
GGCUCCUUGUAAAAUAUAGAUAGGGAGUCGAGCCUGCCCAGUGAAUUUUUAACGGCCGCGGUACUCUGACCGUGCAAAGGUAGCAUAAUCAUUUGCCUUAUAAUUGAAGGCUUGUAUGAAUGGUUUGACAAGAAUAUAACUGUCUCUUUAUAAUUAAGUAGAAUUUUAUAUAUAGGUGAAGAAGCCUAUAUAAUAUUGAAAGACAAGAAGACCCUAUCGAGCUUAAAAUAAAUUAGUAAACUAAGUUUAAUAUAACUAAAAAAUUAAUUACUAAAAACUUUGGUUGGGGCGACUGAGGAACAAAUAAAGCUUCCUUUAUUUUAUAAAAACAAUCAGGUAAGGAUCCAAAAGCUUUGAUUAAAGAAAAUAGUUACCGUAGGGAUAACAGCAUUAUCUUUUUUAAGAGUUCUAAUCGAAAAAAAGGUUUGUGACCUCGAUGUUGGACCAGAAUAUCCUAAAGAUGCAGCCGUCUUUAAGGGUUGGUCUGUUCGACCAUUAAAAUUCU